This 167-nucleotide unclassified non-coding RNA is filed under the name uncultured Myxotrichaceae. Its description in RNAcentral is "sequence contains ITS1". Lineage: Eukaryota; Fungi; Ascomycota; Leotiomycetes; Myxotrichaceae. The record is from RNAcentral.
CCGAGUUCUCGCCCUCGCGGGCGGACCUCCCACCCACUGUUAUCUUACCGUCGUUGCUUUGGCGAGCCGCCAGGCCUAGCCCGGCCGCCGGCCCCCGCCGGCGCGCGCCCGCCAGAGGCCCCCCAAACACUGAAUAUUGACGUCGUCCGAGUACUAUACAAUAGUCA